AUUGAACGCUGGCGGCAGGUCUAACACAUGCAAGUCGAACGAGUGGCGGACGGGUGAGUAAUGUCUGGGAAACUGCCUGAUGGCGGGGGCUAACUACUGGAAACGGUAGAUAAUACCGCAUACCAUCGGAUGUGCCCAGAGUGGAUUAGCUAGUCGGUGGGGUAAAGGCUCACCUAGUCGACGAUCCCUAGCUGGUCUGCGAGGAUGACCAGCCACACGGGAACGGAGACACGGGCCAGACGCCUACGGGAGGCAGCAGUGGUGAAUAUUGCACAAUGGGCGCAAGCCUGAUGCAGCCAUGCCGCGUGUAUGAAGAAGGCCUUCGGGUUGUAAAGUACUUUCAGCGGGGAGGCGUUACCCGCAGAAGAAGCACCGGCUAACUCCGUGCCAGCAGCCGCGGUAAUAC
This 406-nucleotide ribosomal RNA is filed under the name uncultured bacterium. RNAcentral describes it as "partial 16S ribosomal RNA". It matches the Rfam family "Bacterial small subunit ribosomal RNA", at positions 30 to 526 of the family's 1533-position model. The record is from RNAcentral.